Molecule: long non-coding RNA, 732 nt
Filed under: Ananas comosus (pineapple)
Lineage: Eukaryota; Viridiplantae; Streptophyta; Magnoliopsida; Poales; Bromeliaceae
Description: long non-coding RNA (ACOM_LNC042804)
Source: RNAcentral
CCUUUUAUUCUGAUUCAAUUUUGAAUUUUACAAAAAUAACCAGGAAGAUUCCAUUCUUUAUCAGUCACACCACACCAUCUAUUAUCAAGCAAUCAUACCUCUCAAUUUGAAGUCUAAUCAUGUUUCUCUUUUGAAUAAAAAAUAUAAUAAAAAUAUUAUUUUAAUAAUCAUAAUGAGACGGAUAAAUUUAAUAUAAAUAAUUAAUUAAUAACAUCACAUCAGCAAUAUAGUGUUAUGUCACAUUACAUAGCUUUGGAGUGUUGCAUCAAAAUCCGGGAGGUGACUUUCCUUUUUUAGCAAAAAUGGGAAAUUAAAGUCUCUAAGCAACAACAACAACAACAACCAUCUAAUUAAAUUCUAGAAAAAACUUCAAAAAUCCCCUGUGAUUUCGUAGUUUCUCAUUUUGCCCUUCUGUGAUUUAAAAUGUAUCAAAUUGCUUCCUUGUGGUUUUAUUUUUAUCUUUUGGAUAGUUUUUUCGUUAAUAUUUCAUUAAAUUAUAUACAAAAAACUUCAGAUGCCCAUCUAGAUUUAUCAAAUAUUCACUUUAGUACCCUUUAGUUUUAACUUUAUCACUGAUUUAAGAAAAAAAAAUAAUAAAAUUGAUAAAAAAAAGAGAAAAACGAAACCACAGAGGGAGCAAAUUGAUACAUUUUAAACCACAUGGGAGCAAAGUGAGAAACUACGAAACCACAGGGGGAUUUUUUAAAGUUUUUCCUAAAUUCUAAUAAUAAU